RNAcentral lists this small RNA (132 nucleotides) under Escherichia coli. RNAcentral's name for it is "RtT sRNA". It matches the Rfam family "RtT RNA". Rfam says of the family: This family represents a bacterial cis-regulatory element known as RtT RNA. The exact function of RtT is unknown although it is thought that it may be involved in changing the cellular response in relation to amino acid starvation. The record is from RNAcentral. RNAcentral also lists the same sequence under 1 other name. Lineage: Bacteria; Pseudomonadati; Pseudomonadota; Gammaproteobacteria; Enterobacterales; Enterobacteriaceae.
AUUCUGCCCAUGCGGGGAAGGAUGAGAAGCUUCGACCAAGGUUCGACUCGAGCGCCAGCGAGAGAGCGUUGCCGCAGGCAACGACCCGAAGGGCGAAGUGCGCAGCGCUGAGUAAUCCUUCCCCCACCACCA